UUCCAGCAUCUGUGGUGGUAUAUCCCUGAAGCUUCCAAGUAUUAUCUGGAGCCUGUAUUUGUGAACACCAAAGGGAAAUUAAACUAUGAAAGGCUUUUCCUUGACUUCCCUGUCUCCAGUUAUCCCCCACCCGUCACCCAAUGCCCAAAUUGGAAAAAGGAGGGAAACUCCCCAGGCAAGGCAGGAGACAGCUGACCCUGAGUAUACACACUUUUGUACACGUUACUUGGUUGGAGACGGCAUUGCAAAAUUUGGAAAAGUGCAAAUUUCAAAGGAUGGCUGGGUCUCAGUUCACAUAUUGUUUUGGAAAAUGACUUAGGAUCGUGCGAUUUGCCAGGUUGGAUAAAAGGACUGUAACUCUAUCUGUCUCCACCACCAGCCAAUGCUUUCAGCCUCACGAAGAAAGGAAGAUGUCAUAAUAUACCAGGGGAGGUUGAUGGCUCCAUGUCAGUGGGGCAGUGGAAUCCACUCUGGUUUUCCAGGAGCUGUCGAAUGUUCUGAAAGCUGGAGUAAUAUACUUGCACUGUUAGGGGUAAAGGUGGAAAAAUGCCUUCCAAAUCCUCUUAACUUUCUGAAGAACAGAACUGAAAAGCAUUUUAUUAUUAUCCUAGUUUGCCUAUCAGUCAGGAGGCAGGAGAGUCAGAAUUUGGGUAUUCCUGCCAUCUCUCACAAGAUUUCUUGUGUGACCCUGGGCUCUUCCAUAUCUGUCAGUAAAUUGGGGAUGGUAAUACUUAGCCAUCCUUUUGGAGAAUGAUUUGACACCUCUGGGUUGAAGGUGCUCAAGGAGUGCAAAGCAUUAUUAUUAUUACGAUGAUCUAUGAAUGUUAUUAAUGGGCAUGACAUUUCCGUUCCCCCUUUUAAAAAUCAGCUCACAGUAUUUGACUCCCUGCAGCUACAUGAACUUCUCAGACUGGCAGCAGACUUGAGUGCUUUCUUGCAUCAGUUUGAAAUUACAGUACCCUCUUCUCUUUUUUUUGCUGUGGAAUCUCUGUUAACAAAACUGUAAGAAUAUCAUUUUAGCCAGAUCCUUUAGAGUUAGAACCACCACAGAAGAAGGGUCAGAGUAAGCUGCCGAAUUUGAAGAAACAACAACCAGUCUGAAUCUUGAGUUAAUGUUCUGAUUUAUUCGUGGGCCAUCAUGAUGCCAAAUUGGCCUUGGAUGUAGGAGGCAAAGACUGAAAUCCCCACUUGGCUCUUGAGGACACUGUGUGACUUGGUGCCAGUGGUCUCAGCUAAGGUUACACUGAUAUGACAACUAUGGGUUAGGCCAUGGGUCAGUUGCUGGUCAUGAACCCACAGUUGAAAACCAGCAUUACAGGCAGCCCAUUAUUUAGACAUUAGAUAUCUAUUUGUGCCAGAAAGAUUUCUGGUUAGUGAGUGUGUCCAAUUAACAGAAGUGACCAUAAAGUUGAGGUUUUUCAGUUCUUCAAUAAAUGUAUUUUUUUUCUGUAAAAUGGGUUGUAGUUUCAUACAUCAUGGUACAGGGAGGGUUAAUACAAAUGAUAGAUAAUCUAAAGCCUGGGAGUCAAAUGUGGCCCUCCAGGCCUCUCUGUCUGGUCCUCGAGACUCCGCAGACCACAGCCCUCAGGUCUCUUCCCAGACCACACCCCUCACUGGCUGAGCUUCUCAUUCUUCUUUGGGUUUUCCCCCCACUCUGGCUGGAUUGUGUCCUUGAACAAGUUAAUGCUUGCCUUCCUGGAUACAGGAUAGAGAGGAGGGGACUAUGAUAGCAUUUGUAGAAACUAGUUUACUAUAUAAAAGUAUAUUUUCCUUUUGUUGUUCCACCCACUUUUCCUUCUAGCUCCUCCUAUUACUGGCAUGUGGCCUCCAGAAGGUUGCUGAGAUGAGAAUGCGUCCCUUGGGGUGAAAAUGCUUGAUCAUUCCUGGUUUAUACAGACAUAUCAUUAGUUACAUUAACAGGGGUGAUUAUAUGGUACAACUGCAUGAGUUUUCCCCUCCAUAGCCUAUAGCCAAUACAAGUAAUAGAUAUGCAAGGAUUUUAGUUACUUUUCCCAGCAUGCACUGGGCUCAUGUAAAAUUAGAGGAGAAAGAAAAUGUCAUUACUUUGGCUUAGUGAAGGACAAAAGUAAAGAACCUUCAAAUAUGAGCCUCUGCAUUUUCUUGUAAAACUUUUAAAAGAAGUAUGGGAUGAAAGAGGUGUAAGUUUGGGUUCAAGCACUCCAAGUUUGAACAAAGCCUAGAAGGAUACAGACUGAGGAGAAGAGUGAGAGAGACUGCCAUUUCAAUACUCCCCUCCUCGGUAGAUCACCAAAGUGCAGCUCAGACAUGCAGUAACUACAAUGAUUACAUCUAUCUCAUUAUCCCUCUUUGAUUAAAUCACAGUAUGCUAACAGUCCUUGGAUAUUAAAACUAUAUUUGCUGAGAUUUCAGAAUCCACAUAAUGAGCACAUAAACAAUUAUUUUAUUUGUCUUGCUGUUAAACCUUGGCGACUUACCUUGCAUUUUUACAAUCACCAUGUAUUUGGCAUGCAUUGGCCAUCCUAUUCUAUUAA
Molecule: long non-coding RNA, 2513 nt
Organism: Rhineura floridana
Lineage: Eukaryota; Metazoa; Chordata; Lepidosauria; Squamata; Rhineuridae
Exons: 3
Source: RefSeq, a predicted model, not a curated record